GUGAGGAAUAUUGGUCAAUGGGCGCAAGCCUGAACCAGCCAUGCCGCGUGCAGGAAGAAGCAUCUAUGGUGUGUAAACUGCUUUUAUACAGGAAGAAACAACGCUACGUGUAGCGUCUUGACGGUACUGUAAGAAUAAGGACCGGCUAACUCCGUGCCAGCAGCCGCGGUAAUACGGAGGGUCCAAGCGUUAUCCGGAAUCCUUGGGUUUAAAGGGUCCGUAGGCGGCCUUAUAAGUCAGUGGUGAAAUCUCCUAGCUCAACUAGGAAACUGCCAUUGAUACUGUAAGGCUUGAAUUUUUGUGAAGUAACUAGAAUAUGUAGUGUAGCGGUGAAAUGCUUAGAUAUUACAUGGAAUACCAAUUGCGAAGGCAGGUUACUAACAAACGAUUGACGCUGAUGGACGAAAGCGUGGGGAGCGAACAGGAUUAGAUACCCGAGUAGUCC
Molecule: ribosomal RNA, 445 nt
Filed under: uncultured bacterium
Lineage: Bacteria
Description: partial 16S ribosomal RNA
Rfam family: Bacterial small subunit ribosomal RNA
Source: RNAcentral